RNAcentral lists this ribosomal RNA (744 nucleotides) under Lichenothelia intermixta. RNAcentral's name for it is "SSU rRNA". It matches the Rfam family "Eukaryotic small subunit ribosomal RNA", at positions 33 to 783 of the family's 1831-position model. Lineage: Eukaryota; Fungi; Ascomycota; Dothideomycetes; Lichenotheliales; Lichenotheliaceae. The record is from RNAcentral.
UGUCUCAAAGAUUAAGCCAUGCAUGUCUAAGUAUAAGCAAUCUAUACGGUGAAACUGCGAAUGGCUCAUUAAAUCAGUUAUCGUUUAUUUGAUAGUACCUUACUACAUGGAUAACCGUGGUAAUUCUAGAGCUAAUACAUGCUAAAAACCUCCGACUUCGGGAGGGGUGUAUUUAUUAGAUAAAAAACCAACGCCCUUCGGGGCUCCUUGGUGAUUCAUGAUAACUUAACGAAUCGCAUGGCCUUGCGCCGGCGAUGGUUCAUUCAAAUUUCUGCCCUAUCAACUUUCGAUGGUAGGAUAGUGGCCUACCAUGGUAUCAACGGGUAACGGGGAAUUAGGGUUCGAUUCCGGAGAGGGAGCCUGAGAAACGGCUACCACAUCCAAGGAAGGCAGCAGGCGCGCAAAUUACCCAAUCCCGACACGGGGAGGUAGUGACAAUAAAUACUGAUACAGGGCUCUUUUGGGUCUUGUAAUUGGAAUGAGUACAAUUUAAAUCCCUUAACGAGGAACAAUUGGAGGGCAAGUCUGGUGCCAGCAGCCGCGGUAAUUCCAGCUCCAAUAGCGUAUAUUAAAGUUGUUGCAGUUAAAAAGCUCGUAGUUGAACCUCGGGCCUGGCUGGCCGGUCCGCCUCACCGCGUGCACUGGUCCGGCCGGGCCUUUCCUCCUGGGGAUCCGCAUGCCCUUCACUGGGUGUGCCGGGGAACCAGGACUUUUACUUUGAAAAAAUUAGAGUGUUCAAAGCAG